GGAUCUUGCAUCAGAAAGGCAUCUCAUCCUUCCACAGGCUGCAUUGUCCAAAGUGUGUCUGGACAGAUUCCUGGUGUCAACUGUCUUCCUGUUUUGUAAUCGUGUUGUUCUCUUGUGUGGCCGUAGGUUCGUGUGACUGUGUUUCCCUCCAAGACGGCAGCUCAGCACUCGGGAGUUCCUUGGUGGAUCAUCCUUGUGGCCAUUCUUGCUGGGAUUUUGAUGCUUGCUCUAUUAGUUCUUUUAUUAUGGAAGUGUGGUUUCUUCAAGAGAAAUAAGAAAGAUCAUUAUGAUGCCACAUAUCACAAGGCUGAGAUCCAUGCUCAGCCAUCUGAUAAAGAAAGGCUUACUUCUGAUGCAUAGUAGUGAUCUACUUCUGUAAUUGUGUGGAUUCUUCAAACGCUCUAGGUACGAUGAAAGCAUUCCCCGAUACCAAGCUGUAAAGAUCCCGAAAGAAGAGCGAGAGAUCAGAGAUGAAAAAUACAACGAUCACCUGGAGAAAAAGCAGUGGAUCACAAGGUGGAAUGAAAAUGAAAGCUACUCCUAGGGGCCAGAGGAGCGUCACAGGCCCCAACUGCUUUUUUCUUCCCCAGCUCAGAAAUUCAAAUGGUUUAAAAGCCUGAUCCCUGACUAUUGAGUUCAGACAGACUGCACCAUAGUACGAACCGACAGUUUUAACUGCUGUGGACAUUGUUACGUAGCCUACGGCUCCUGUUUUGUACAGCCAAAUGUAAGACUGUUGGAAUGGAUUUUUCUGUAACUGCCUUAAUUUAACUUUCCCGGUUGCCUUUGUUUUUGGUGUGGCUGACUCACACGUGCCGGGGAAGGCCCCGCCCAGUUGCGCUCAUCUGACAUCCUCCCGCUAGUGUAACUGGAAGAAGGCGCCCGUGGUCACCGUGUCAGCAGAGUGACCGUGGGUGCUGCCUCUGCAAGCGUUCUUCCCAAUAGGACUGGAGAACCUGCAAGUUAACUGUCCCCCAUCACAAGACAAUGCCGUAGGGGUAGCUGUGUUUCCAUUUAAAGUGCUAUCUUAAAUUAAAUGUGCAAUAGAAGGUGAUGUUGCCAUCCUGCUAUCUUUUUCCAUUUCCCAGACGUGUGAAUACCUGUUCACACCAAAGACAUCCAGGUUUCCUUCUCCCUUUUCACUAAAACACACAGGUGCAACUGACUUGAAUGCUAGUUAUCCUUAUUUGUAUAUGGUAUUUAUUUUUUAUUUUUUACAAACCAUUUUGUUAUUGACUAGCGGGCCAAAGAUUCUCCAGUUUGUCCUGCAGGUUGGAGUAAGCAAUCAGAAUUAGAACAUGGGAGGUCAUUGGUUUGAUCUAAAGUAUUUACUGCAAAAAGAAAAUAAUGCUUUAUAAAUGUACCAGAGAGUUGUUAUAAUUUACAACAUAAGUUAUUAAAACAUCUUCCUUCAUGACAUCCCUUACCUUGACCCCCUCCCUCCAAACCCAAAAGGUUUGUUUAAGAAAUAGGAUUAACCGUUAGAAGUUUAAUUCUGAACAGACAAUGGAUAUUUUUGAGUUUGGAGCCCUGUGUGACAAUUAUGAAUUUUAUGCUAUAACUUUCAGGAACUCUUGGAAAAAAGGGGGUUUAUUUCUUGACCUUUCACUGCUGUAUAUACAGGACUUGAAAGAAAUGGUGAGUGCCUAUGGUGGAUCCAAUCCGAUCCAGUGGAAGACUACUGAAUACCCGAUACCAAAAGUCAGAUUAGAACAUCAUGGCUUUUACGUUUUAAAUAUUAUUGGAAUCAUGUCAUGUGAGUCAGAGUUCUAUUUUUUUGCUGUGUUUCCUCCCCUAUGUAUUUCCCCAAAUUAUUUUAGGACUACUCUAACAAGAACUUUAACUUGUUUUUUAAGUGUCAAAGUGGAGGAGGGGAGGAAGACAUUAUUCUUCUAUACAUUCAAUAGAGAUUGAAUAGAUAUGAAAGCCAGAUUUUAAAAAAUGACUGUGCUUCAAGAUGUUAAGUUAUAUGGGGAGCAACAGCAAACCAGGUGCUAAUUUGUUUGGAUGUAAUGUAAGCUGUGUCUCAUUCUUUUAAAAACAAAAUACAGCUAUGUACCAUUGUUGCUUUGGAGUUUUAAUUUUCUUUCCUUUUUGGAAAUCUUAUACCCUUAAGAUACUAAGAACAUUACUCUAGUUAUACUUUAGAAAUUUCAUUCACAAAUAUUGUUUUCCAAAUGAUAUUUUGUUUACAAAAAUUUCUUGAGAACAGGUCAUAACAGUGUUUAAAAUCUCAGUUUCUUGCUUAGGUAACUUGGAACCCAAUGUACUGGCUUCAUAGGUUGCUAAGAAGCUGAUUUUUGAACAUGUUUAUAGGCCCUUGUUGUAAAGACGAAUGUCCUUGGGAAGGGGUGGGGAGGUGGGUGCAAGGGUGGCUCAACAACAAAGAAACAAGAAUGUAGUGGUCUUUACGUUUAUAGUUGUGAAAAAUGUCAUCUCAAGUCAAGUCACUGGUCUAUUCUCAUUUGAUACAUUUUUAUACUAACUAGCAUUGUAAAAUUAUUUCAUGAUUAGAAAAUACCUGUGGAUAUUUGUAUAAAAGUAUGAAAUAAAUUUUUUUAUGAAAGUGUUCA
This is a long non-coding RNA of Myotis lucifugus (little brown bat), 2573 nucleotides long. RefSeq lists it as uncharacterized. The transcript has 3 exons. The record is from RefSeq and is a predicted model, not a curated record. NCBI's taxonomy places the organism in Eukaryota, Metazoa, Chordata, Mammalia, Chiroptera, Vespertilionidae.